UACGGGGGGGAGCAAGCGUUUGUUCGGAUUUACUGGGGCGUAAAGGGCGCGUAGGCGGUCGUGACAAGUCACUUGUGAAAUCUCCCGGGCUUAACUCGGAACGGUCAAGUGAUACUGUCGGACUAGAGUACAGAAAGGGGCCAACUGGAAUUCUCGGUGUAGCGGUGAAAUGCGUAGAUAUCGAGAGGAACACCUGCGGCGAAGGCGGGUUGCUGGGCUGAUACUGACGCUGAGGCGCGAAAGCCAGGGGAGCGAACGGG
RNAcentral lists this ribosomal RNA (260 nucleotides) under uncultured bacterium. Its description in RNAcentral is "partial 16S ribosomal RNA". It matches the Rfam family "Bacterial small subunit ribosomal RNA", at positions 524 to 776 of the family's 1533-position model. The record is from RNAcentral.